This 497-nucleotide ribosomal RNA is filed under the name uncultured bacterium. Its description in RNAcentral is "partial 16S ribosomal RNA". It matches the Rfam family "Bacterial small subunit ribosomal RNA", at positions 29 to 507 of the family's 1533-position model. The record is from RNAcentral.
AAUGAACGCUGGCGGCGUGCCUAAUACAUGCAAGUCGAGCGAACGGACGAGAAGCUUGCUUCUCUGAUGUUAGCGGCGGACGGGUGAGUAACACGUGGAUAACCUACCUAUAAGACUGGGAUAACUUCGGGAAACCGGAGCUAAUACCGGAUGAUAUUUUGAACCGCAUGGUUCAAAAGUGAAAGACGGUCUUGCUGUCACUUAUAGAUGGAUCCGCGCUGCAUUAGCUAGUUGGUAAGGUAACGGCUUACCAAGGCAACGAUGCAUAGCCGACCUGAGAGGGUGAUCGGCCACACUGGAACUGAGACACGGUCCAGACUCCUACGGGAGGCAGCAGUAGGGAAUCUUCCGCAAUGGGCGAAAGCCUGACGGAGCAACGCCGCGUGAGUGAUGAAGGUCUUCGGAUCGUAAAACUCUGUUAUUAGGGAAGAACAUAUGUGUAAAUAACUGUGCACAUCUUGACGGUACCUAAUCAGAAAGCCACGGCUAACUACGUG